Molecule: long non-coding RNA, 1030 nt
Organism: Heterocephalus glaber (naked mole-rat)
Lineage: Eukaryota; Metazoa; Chordata; Mammalia; Rodentia; Bathyergidae
Source: Ensembl
GGUUUUUUCUUUUUUAUGGUGAAUUCUUGGGAAUAUUGGCUUGUGUCUGUGGCAAAGGUUUUCAAUAGUACUUUCUUUCCUUUUCAGGUCACAGUAUUCUAAGAAAUCGAACAGUGUGCCACCCUCCCCAGUGUGGGUACAGACUCAGGUGUAGACAGCUUUCAGGCACUGAUUUCAUACUCCCAAUAGGUAAAUGAAGAAUUCAGUGUUCAACCAUCACAGACAUUUAAAAAAAGAAAGAAAACAUCAAAGAAUUUGAAACAAAAUUCUAACAAUGCAGAAAGCAGUGAUGCCAGGUUCCUCGCACACUGCAGCUGGCAGGACAGUCUUCCUUGGCUGGACCGCCCCGCCGUGCGCGUGCCGCGUCUGUCCCUCCCUGGCCUGGGCUCCGCACCCUUGCGCGGCCGGAGCAGCUCUGCGCGGGCGCGGGCGUCUCCUCAGCGCCAUUCACCGACUUUCUGAUCGCACCUCGUGAAACCCUCCGGACAGAGGCUGCGGAGCUGCUGCCGGACGGUGGGAUGGGUGAGUCAAAGCCGGGAAGCCUCGGGGAUUGGUGGGAAGGCAGGCGCGGCCCCGGCCCCGAGCUCCGAUUCCCGCGGAACGGCUCCGAGCCGGCGACUCCGGACGGGAAGGUCGGGGCCCCCAGCGCCGCCCCGAAGGCCGGGUCCCCGCGGAACAUGACGCCUCAGAUGGCUCAUCAAUUUCAGGAACUCUUCCAAAGCAUGCACCAUCAAAUUGAGAGCCAUCCCCACCGCUAUCCCCACUACUAUGACCCCUCCCCGAGGGACCUUCUCUUCUUCCUCCAGCUGCUUUACCUGCACUAAGUGGUAAACAUCACCGCUAUCAUCUUGCUUUGGGGAGUCUCUCCUCUACCACCACCUUUGUUCGGGGACCCCCUUUUUAGGCUCACCACCUGCUCUGUCAUGUAGAAAGAAGCAGAAAUAAAUUAAUAAAUGUUAAGUUUUUAUGAUGAAUGUGAUCAUUAUGUAUAUCUAAAAAAACCCAAUAAAAUUAAUUUUUAAAACGUGAA